GACGAACGCUGGCGGCGUGCUUAACACAUGCAAGUCGAACGGAAAGGCCCUGCUUGCAGGGUACUCGAGUGGCGAACGGGUGAGUAACACGUGGGUGAUCUGCCCUGCACUUCGGGAUAAGCCUGGGAAACUGGGUCUAAUACCGGAUAGGAGCCAUAUUUAGUGUGAUGGUUGGAAAGUUUUUUCGGUGUAGGAUGAGCUGGCGGCCUAUCAGCUUGUUGGUGGGGUAAUGGCCUACCAAGGCGGCGACGGGUAGCCGGCCUGAGGGGGUGGACGGCCACAUUGGGACUGAGAUACGGCCCAGACUCCUACGGGAGGCAGCAGGGGGGAAGAUUGCACGAUGGGCGCAAGCCUGAUGCAGCGACGCCGCGUGGGGGAUGACGGCCUUCGGGUUGUAAACUCCUUUCGCUAGGGACGAAGCUUUUUGUGACGGUACCUAGAUAAGAAGCACCGGCUAACUACGUG
This 465-nucleotide ribosomal RNA is filed under the name uncultured bacterium. RNAcentral's name for it is "partial 16S ribosomal RNA". It matches the Rfam family "Bacterial small subunit ribosomal RNA", at positions 28 to 507 of the family's 1533-position model. The record is from RNAcentral.